RNAcentral lists this long non-coding RNA (382 nucleotides) under Daucus carota (carrot). Its description in RNAcentral is "long non-coding RNA (DCAR_LNC003093)". The record is from RNAcentral. Lineage: Eukaryota; Viridiplantae; Streptophyta; Magnoliopsida; Apiales; Apiaceae.
AAUACAUUCAACUAGCUAUAAUCUGAGUGGAAGGAGCUAUUCACAAGCGGUUUCAGGUUCGAACAAGGACAUGUUAGUGCAUGUUGCCUGCGGGAAGUGAAUCAAAAUCCGAUACACAAGGCGCAUAAGAUCACUGCAUCCAGAUUUUAUUUUUUAUGUUUUCCAAGCCCUUUUUUCUUCCACAAAAAUUACCAAUCUGGAUUGAUUCUAUUCUUGGUACGUUCAACAUAGUACAGUUUGUCGUUUCUUGUUCCAAAUCCUUGUUAUAGAUAUGUCAGAACUUUGAUUAACAGCUUCGAUAUUCUAACAUGCUAUCAGGUCGGUAUGCUGCUGCUCCAUUAUCUUCAGUCAAAGGGCGUGCAAGUGAUAACAUUAUUCUCCU